Molecule: ribosomal RNA, 301 nt
Filed under: uncultured bacterium
Lineage: Bacteria
Description: partial 16S ribosomal RNA
Rfam family: Bacterial small subunit ribosomal RNA
Source: RNAcentral
CAGUAGCCGCGGGAACACGAACCGUGCAAACGUUACUCGGAAUCACUGGGCUUAAAGCGCACGUAGGCGGCGACAUAAGCUAGAGGUGAAAUCCCAUCGGCUCAACCGUGGAACUGCCUCUAAUACUGUGUUGCUUGAGGGAGAACGGGGCAUUCGGAACUUCCGGUGGAGCGGUGAAAUGUGUUGAUAUCGGAAGGAACGCCGGUGGCGAAAGCGGAAUGCCGGGUCUCUUCUGACGCUGAGGUGCGAAAGCUAGGGUAGCGAACGGGAUUAGAUACCCCCGUAGUCCCUGUCUCUUAUU